AGUGCUGUCAUUCUGACCUUUCCAUGAAAGACAUUCUGUGACCAGACUGAGGACCGUGUCCAAAUUAAAGACAAAGGUCGCUAGAAGUGCACAAGGGUAGCUAGGCUACAGGUUACACUCAACAAAGUUGCUGUGAACCUUAAGAAAGCCAGGUGAAUUAUCCUGGCUGUGCGGAAAGACACGCCCUGGAAACUACGUCAUCAGGAAUGUGCACAACUUUCAGCAUCCCCACCCCUGGGCUGUCCAUCUCUCCUACCAUCUAGCCUGGUUCUUUUGGGUCCUCAAUGUGCCACUCUCACCAGUCCUAUCUGGUUAGAAAAGGCCUCCACAGAAAGUGGAGAAUAAUAGCUAGGCCAUCCACUCACUGGUGGUGAACAGAGUGGAUGUGAGACUCGGGACGUUCAGGUGAGUUAGCCGAACCUGGCUGUGUGGAAACUACAUCAACAGGGACAUGCUUCAGUCAAGUUUCAGCAGUCUGUCCAUCUUGUUCGUUUUGCCCCUUGGUGUGCCUCUCAGCAGUCCUAUCUCUCUAAGGCACAGGCAUGCGUGAAGUUACACAGAACCCAACAAGUAUUUCUAAGAAAGUGUAUGAAGUCACUGAGUGAGUGAGAGAAAAAAAAAAAAAACAGAGGAUGAGGGAGACCUCAGACCUGAGAUGUUUUCUCUGCCAUUUUUUUUCUCUCUCUGUGGUUUGUGCUGGCUAUACGUGAGCGUGACAUAGUAUACAGCCAAUCCCCUUUAACACAACAAGCCAACAACAGCUCCAGCAAACACACAAGGACACAAAAACGAGCCUGUAUAUGGCCUUCUAAACAACGAAGGGUCAAAUACAAGCCUGCCUAACCACACAAAGGACUGACAACUUUUUCCAAAGAGUUUUCAGUAGCCCUCAGAACCCUUCAAACACUUAGGAGAAAUUACUAAUAACUAAGGGAUGUUAGUUAGCCUCUCUUGUUCCUCCUCAGACUCUUUCAUAAGAGGAAAAAUAACAUCUCUCUAAACCACCACAAAGCCACCCGAUAGUAGGCUACCUCCUCAAUGCAGACAUCCGAUUUACAGAAAUGAAAGUAAGUUGUGACCUAUCAUGUGAGUUGAACACAGUGGCGCAGACUUCCUGCAGUAUCCUCCCCCUGUGCUACUGGCAGCAGAAACCAGCUUGGGCAGAAACAGUCAUGUCAGUGGCAGUACUUCUAGUGGCAGGACUUAUUGUAGGUGCGGUCCAGCAAAGUGAAAGUGAAAGUAACGUAUUUCCCCUAAAUGAAGUCAAAGACUGCUUUGCAAAUAAAUUUGCUGCAACUGCAAAUACAUUCUGUUUCAAUGAAGAUUGUGAGAGCAAAAAGCUGAAGAAUGCCAUUGUUCCAUGUCUGCUACUCGGCUAUGAUCUUAUUUACCAAGACUCUUCUUACCAGUUAAAGGGAGAUUCCAAUGUCAGACGUAUGGCUCAUUGUGCUGUCGAAAAAUGUGCAGAGGGACUGAUGACGAGCCAUGGAACCAUGGGAUUCCUCUCAGGUUGGGGGGAUUCUGUCUACUCUUGUCUUGUUGCCAUGAGCAACUGUGUGAAAACUGAACCCAAAUUCAAGCUCAAAACUGAAUUUUGAUUUAUUAAGCCAUUACAUCACAGUGUUUGUAUUCUGUCAUUGUACUAAAUUUGUAUGCCACUGCAUGACUUUUCUAUAGGGUUUCAUUGGUCUGUAGGUGUUAAUGACAUUUUGGAGUUUUUCUGUGUUUUUCCCUGUAUAAAAUGAUUAGUUGAUACUGACAUGAUCAGAACAUAUUCCCUGAGGUAUUCUGAUGCUGAAAAAUAUCAAAUGAAAUUGUGUCAGAGUCAGCCAAUAGAAUUCACCAUUAAUGUAUGAAAACCAUAACAAAAUGCAUUUCAGUGAAGUGAGACACUGUGUGAUUCAGUUUGAGUGAGACUGUAUGAAAUAUGAGUGGACACUAGAUGGCGCUCUAUUUCUCCAAAUGAACAGAGUGAUUCUGAAUGGUCCUGGAAAUUGGUUGCAAGAAAUUAAAGAAGUUUCUAUUAAGGGUAAA
Alosa alosa (allis shad) is the source of this 2034-nucleotide long non-coding RNA. RefSeq lists it as uncharacterized. The record is from RefSeq and is a predicted model, not a curated record. NCBI's taxonomy places the organism in Eukaryota, Metazoa, Chordata, Actinopteri, Clupeiformes, Clupeidae. The transcript has 8 exons.